UACAGAGGGUGCGAGCGUUGUCCGGAAUCACUGGGCGUAAAGCGCGUGUAGGUGGUGGGACAAGUCUGCUGUGAAAGCGCCUGGCUUAACCGGGCGAGGUCGGCGGAAACUGUCCGACUAGAGGACGGUAGAGGGGGGUGGAAUUCCCGGUGUAGUGGUGAAAUGCGUAGAGAUCGGGAGGAACACCUGUGGCGAAGGCGGCCCCCUGGGCCGGCCCUGACACUGAGACGCGAAGGCGUGGGGAGCGAACGGG
RNAcentral lists this ribosomal RNA (253 nucleotides) under uncultured bacterium. RNAcentral describes it as "partial 16S ribosomal RNA". It matches the Rfam family "Bacterial small subunit ribosomal RNA", at positions 524 to 776 of the family's 1533-position model. The record is from RNAcentral.